Molecule: non-coding RNA, 46 nt
Organism: Harpegnathos saltator (Jerdon's jumping ant)
Lineage: Eukaryota; Metazoa; Arthropoda; Insecta; Hymenoptera; Formicidae
Source: Rfam
AAAUCGGCCCUUUUAAGGGCCACCAUUUUUUUUAUUUUUAACUUUG